Molecule: ribosomal RNA, 468 nt
Filed under: uncultured bacterium
Lineage: Bacteria
Description: partial 16S ribosomal RNA
Rfam family: Bacterial small subunit ribosomal RNA
Source: RNAcentral
GACGAACGCUGGCGGCGUGCUUAACACAUGCAAGUCGAACGGAAAGGCCCUGCUUUUGUGGGGUGCUCGAGUGGCGAACGGGUGAGUAACACGUGAGUAACCUGCCCAUGACUUUUGGAUAACUUCAGGAAACUGGGGCUAAUACCGGAUAGGAGCUUCUGCUGCAUGGUGGUGGUUGGAAAGGGUCGGCGGUUGGGGAUGGAUGCGCGGCUUAUCAGCUUGUUGGUGGAGUAGUGGCUUACCAAGGGGUUGACGGGUAGUCGCCCUGAGAGGGUGACCGGCACAAUGGGGACUGAGAUACGGGCCAGAGCAGUACGGGAGGCAGCGGUAGGGAAUAUAGCAUGAUCGGCCGACGCCGGAUGAAGCAACGCCGCGUGCGGGAUGUAGGGCUUUGGGGUAAGAAAAGCACUGGACUGAGACGAAGCGUGAGUGACGGUACCGGAUCAAGAAGCAACGGCUAACUACGUG